GUUUUAACUUGUAACAACCUUGUUGAUAUUAUCAGACUUGUUGCACGGUUCCAACAAGUCCGAUACAGUCAUGAUAUACCCUGUAACAACAGUAUUGUUACAACCUUGUGUCGUCAACCUUGUAACAUUCGUGUUAUAUCAUGACGGUACCAGACUUGUUAGAACAAUCUUGUAACAAGUCUGAUAAUGCCAUCAAGCUUGUUGCAAGUUGUUAAC
Molecule: microRNA precursor, 216 nt
Filed under: Paramuricea clavata
Lineage: Eukaryota; Metazoa; Cnidaria; Anthozoa; Malacalcyonacea; Plexauridae
Source: RNAcentral